AGGGUUUGUUCAGAGCAGAGUGCCUGAAGAAAUGGCACCUCUGUUUACACCAUACCCAACAGAAAUCUGGGCUCAUUGAUGAGGGGCACAAAAUUUGCCACCUUCCAGUGACUACCCUACAUUU
Molecule: small nucleolar RNA, 124 nt
Organism: Sorex araneus (European shrew)
Lineage: Eukaryota; Metazoa; Chordata; Mammalia; Eulipotyphla; Soricidae
Source: Ensembl